GGUUAGAACCUGGAGUCGAGAAAAGUCUUGUUCGCCGCUGUCUUGUAAUUGGCAAAGUUUUGAUUAUACAAAUGAAUAAUUGUGUCAACUCACCUGUUGUGAUCCACACUGAAGAAAUGGGUUCGUCUCGACUGAGAAUAGCUGGCAACAAUAACUCACUUUGUUUGCGAUUCCCUGAAACUUUUGCCGCACAAAUGUGAACUCCAAUGGAAAGACCUUGGAUUUUACCUGACACAUGUGUUUCUGAUAAGUCUCCCUAUGCAACUUACGGAAACGAGUAUCUGAUGGCGGAAGUUGAGUGUUGUCACCGUUCCAUGUGGACAGACUGGAUACUGGAUCAAUUUUACAUAUUACUGGUGUUGCAGUCACGGGAAUACAUACGCUGGACUGCUGGACUGUUUUGUCUUCUUCACGGGUUAAUACAUUGUGUAAUUCCAAUCCUUCUAGCUGGAAUAGCAGUGAUUGGAAAUUUCCUUCAAAAACUUGGUGGAAAUAACUAGCAAGCAUUUACUUCAAGAAUUGUCCAUGCAUUUCCUUACAAAAACUGAACUAUUUGACUACUGGCCAAUCCAACAACAUCGAUUCCAACCGCCUCAAGGAGACUGUCAAGAUAUAGAGGAUAUGUGGAGCUACAGGCUGCUCUUUUUUUUUAGCAAUUUGCUGUCAGCUGUCAAAAUUAUCGUAGACUCUUGUACUGAGUUAACUCAGUCGUACUCUGGUCGUACUUGUGCCGUCAACUGGACCAAAACGAAAAAAAAUUAAAGUUCGUAUCAUCACCUGUCUACACAAAUUUCCUGGAGGGAUGGAUUCCAGAAUAUUCCAUUGACACAUCAUGAAAAAAACAACUUGUGGAAUCCGUGGGAUCACUCUCAAAAUCAGGGCAUCAAUGAUCAAUCUUCCCAAUGGAAUCAGGCCUGGUGUUUUAAUCGUAAACUUCUACCUGGCGUUUGAUGCGGGCAUUUGCAUCUGCAUUCACCAUAUUACGGUAGAAUUGAUUCAGUUUUUUCAAUCUGCUAGUAAACUUCAGCAAAUGAUUUCUUGAAGUACUUAUUUGCUUUAGUCGUAUCGUAACUGGAAAAUAAAAUAAGAAUUUGUUUCCGAUUUA
Molecule: long non-coding RNA, 1105 nt
Filed under: Daphnia pulicaria
Lineage: Eukaryota; Metazoa; Arthropoda; Branchiopoda; Diplostraca; Daphniidae
Description: uncharacterized LOC124318825, transcript variant X2
Source: RNAcentral